Long non-coding RNA from Anneissia japonica, 1261 nucleotides. RefSeq lists it as uncharacterized. The record is from RefSeq and is a predicted model, not a curated record. Lineage: Eukaryota; Metazoa; Echinodermata; Crinoidea; Comatulida; Comatulidae. The transcript is spliced from 3 exons.
UAUUGUUGCAGAGACAAAUCAGUUUCAGGUACAUUAAUAUAAAUUAUUAUCAUUAUUAUUACUAUUUUAAAUACCAGUAUAUAUGAAGUUAAAGUUAAACAUAAAAGUAGUUUGUUAAGAAAGGCAUAUCUCAUUGAAUGUGUAACGCUUAACAACUAUUGGGAGCCCUCUCUUAACAAACUUUUACAUCUUAAUUGUCAUUCUGAUAUUUUUACUUCUUUCCCUCAUCUUUAUUUAUGGCAUUCCAUCUUAACAGUCAAGCGUUCAAGCAAUUCUUUGGUUUUCAAAAAUGUAAUAGGUCAUACAGUGUUUUAAAAUACUGUAGUUAUGGUUCUAUUCCUCUUUAGGCAGUUAUUCACUUUAUUUACAUAAAGGCUUGCAUGAGAGCAACCAUUACACUGUAGAUAGCAGAUGAGAUUUUCAUAAUAAAAUUAGCUGGGCCUAGCCUAUAUGGCUAUCUGCUACUCUACAUAUUGAAAUAUAUUUAUAAAAAGAUAUAAACUCAACCAUCUUGCAGUAGUCCUGAAAUUGUAAUAAAGAUGAGGACAUCUGUGACAUCUGGAUUUGAAAUUGGCUUCUCUGCCUAUAUCUGGUCUACCUUAAGCCUGAUUGCAAAACCUAUUAAGGUGGUGAGGUUGAUGGCGAGUGGUGUUACAGAGGAUCUGACAACGAUGUUUGCUGCACAUAGUGACACCUAUCAGCACUGACUUCAGUUUGAAUGUUGACGAAAAUGCAGAGAAAACACGCAAAUAUUAUGAAUGCAAGAGUGAUGAAGUCUUCCCAAAUUUCGGGGAAUACAGAAAUGAUGUGGAGAUGGGCUGGUCACAUAACAAGAAUGCAAGCUAAUGGACAAAGAGACUUACAGACUGGCAACCUUGGUCAGGGAAAAGCAGGAGAGGAAGGCAAAAAAGAAGAUGGAGUAAUGAAAUACCACAUCUGUAUGAAAAUAGCAACAUGGAACAGAGCAACAAGACAGACAGAAAGAAAACUUGAAAAAUUUCUUCUGGAGAGUUACAUCCAGCAGUGGAUGAACACAGCCUAAACACAUUGCUGCUUAUGGUAUAUUUUAAUGACAUAUUAAUUAAUAAUCUUGCAUAUAUCAUUUUGUCAUCCCUUUAGAAAAACAAAAUUAUGUGCAGUUUUUAAAGAAAGGUAAUUGGUUUUGAGAGUUCGUAUUUAUUCGUAUUUUUAUAUUUAUUUUCAAUCAAAUCGCUAUGCUCCAUUCUAUUCUGUGUUGACUAGUAGUUCGUGGUAUUUGUUC